Long non-coding RNA from Pygocentrus nattereri (red-bellied piranha), 1141 nucleotides. RefSeq lists it as uncharacterized. The transcript is spliced from 4 exons. The record is from RefSeq and is a predicted model, not a curated record. NCBI's taxonomy places the organism in Eukaryota, Metazoa, Chordata, Actinopteri, Characiformes, Serrasalmidae.
CAGCAGGUUGCAGGAAGCUGACGGUGAAAGAAAAUGGAUAUACGGCGUUUUUUCAAGGAGAAAGAAUGUGCUUCGUUUCGAAGUUGCUGUAGCCAUUGUUGUUACCGCUCCCCGUACAGCGUGAUCCAGAGCUGAGAGCCAGAGCUGAGAGGAACAGCAGAACAGAAAGCUUCAUCCUGAAAGAGACAAGGGCCAAUACCGACUAUUAGUUAGCAAGGACACUGAUAACCAAUAUUUGGGGCUGAAUACUUCUGGAGGCUUAUCGGCAUAGUUUUCAUCCACUGAAGCAUGUUAAAAGCAUGUUCAAGAUCCGAUGGAACCAGUGCAGGAUGAGGCUUUCUCUCCUUCUAAUGUUCCUCUUGGCUCUGGCUUGCAGCUAUGACCUGCCCUGUAGAGGAAAUUAUAGUGAUGAUUCCUACAACGAAUUCUCUGCAAAGCACAUUCUACCAAAAGGAUUUAAGAACUCAGAAGACAACUGGAUUAAGCUCCUGCAAAAACAAAUGCAAUACCUAAAUAAAGAAAGGCUCUGUGGAAGAGUACCUUUGCAGACUUUCUUUAGGAAAGCUGAUGAAAAUGCAGUUAAAAACAUCUGUAACGGUCAAGGCUUUAAAUAUAGUGAUGGAAAUCUGUGCAUCAGUCAGGAGAGAUUCAAUCUUUUCAUAGUUGAAAGCAAGAGAAUUAAAAGUGGUUGCAAAAUAAAGAAAAUUAGUGAAACUAACAACGACAACCGUUUGCAUGUGAUUGUUGGCUGUGGGAGGGUUGAAAACACAUGUCUGCCUGUACACUUCCAUACUCAGACCAAAGAGGAACCACACAACAGGAUUGUAUGCCGUUACCCAUAAAUCAUUCAUUCUGCACUUACACAAAAACCCUUUUUGUUCCUUUACUCGUCUUCUUUACGCCACAGACGUGCCUCUUCUUUCAUGCUUUUCACUGCUGGAUAAAAGUCUCUGCUAAAUCAAAUAAGGUCAAUUAUAUUCUAAGAAGAACAUCGCACAUUAAAGAAUGAGGAUUCAGAUGUUCACUGCUUUUAUUAUCAAACGUCUUUAUAAAAUAUGAUGGUUUAAAGUUAUGAUGUAGAGAAUUUAACGACUGCCGAAUGUCUGUACUAUAAAUAAACACAUGAGAACAUUUUGUACUA